RNAcentral lists this ribosomal RNA (345 nucleotides) under Asanada agharkari. RNAcentral describes it as "eukaryotic LSU rRNA". It matches the Rfam family "Eukaryotic large subunit ribosomal RNA", at positions 698 to 965 of the family's 3401-position model. Lineage: Eukaryota; Metazoa; Arthropoda; Chilopoda; Scolopendromorpha; Scolopendridae. The record is from RNAcentral.
GAAAGAAACCCGAAGGCGCAAUGAAAGUGAAGGUCGACCCGAACUGGCCGACCGAGGCGGGAUCCGUCCGGGCAUCGCCGCGAUGCGGAGCUCUCUCUCGUAGGGGGCUCGGUCGCGGGGGCACGGCGGCGCACCGCCGGCCCGUCUCGACCGCUUCUCGUCGGCGAGGCGGAGCAAGAGCGCACACGUUGGGACCCGAAAGAUGGUGAACUAUGCUCGGGCAGGACGAAGCCAGAGGAAACUCUGGUGGAGGUCCGUAGCGAUUCUGACGUGCAAAUCGAUCGUCGGACCUGAGUAUAGGGGCGAAAGACUAAUCGAACCGUCUAGUAGCUGGUUCCUUCCGAA